Molecule: ribosomal RNA, 381 nt
Filed under: uncultured organism
Description: bacterial SSU rRNA
Rfam family: Bacterial small subunit ribosomal RNA
Source: RNAcentral
UGCCUAACACAUGCAAGUCGAGCGUGAAAGUCCUUCGGGAUGAGUAAAGCGGCGGACGGGUGAGUAACGCGUGAGAAUCUACCCUUCAGUGAGGAAUACCUUUGAGAAAUCGAAGUUAAUACUGCAUACGUCUCGUAAGAGAGAAAGAUGGCCUAAUUGCUGUCGCUGAGGGAUGAGCUUGCGUUCUAUUAGUUAGUUGGUGAGGUAAUGGCUCACCAAGACGAUGAUGGAUAGCCGGCCUGAGAGGGUGUACGGCCACAUUGGAACUUAGACACGGUCCAAACUCCUACGGGAGGCAGCAGUGAGGAAUAUUGCACAAUGGGCGAAAGCCUGAUGCAGCGACGCCGCGUGGAGGAUGAAGGUUUUCGGAUUGUAAACUCC